AGAGUUUGAUCCUGGCUCAGAAUCAACGCUGGCGGCGCGCUUAACACAUGCAAGUCGCACGAGAAAGUGGAGCAAUCCAUGAGUAAAGUGGCGUACGGGUGAGUAACACGUGGAUCAUCUACCUCUUAGUGGGGAAUAACCCUGGGAAACCGGGGCUAAUACCGCAUGAGCCUGAAAAGGGAAAGCAGCAAUGCGCUGAGAGAGGAGUCCGCGGCCGAUUAGCUAGUUGGUAGGGUAAUGGCCUACCAAGGCAAUGAUCGGUAGCCGGCCUGAGAGGGCACACGGCCACACUGGCACUGAAACACGGGCCAGACUCCUACGGGAGGCAGCAGUGGGGAAUCUUGCACAAUGGAGGAAACUCUGAUGCAGCGACGCCGCGUGAGCGAUGAAGCCCUUCGGGGUGUAAAGCUCUUUCGACGGGAACGAUAAUGACGGUACCCGGAGAAGAAGCUGCGGCUAACUACGUGCCAGCAGCCGCGGUAAUACGUAGGCAGCAAGCGUUGUUCGGAAUUACUGGGCGUAAAGAGUGUGUAGGCGGUUCUCUAUGUUCGGUGUGAAAUCUCCCGGCUUAACUGGGAGGGUGCGCCGAAAACUGGAGGGCUCGAGUAUGGGAGAGGAAAGCGGAAUUCCUGGUGUAGCGGUGAAAUGCGUAGAUAUCAGGAGGAACACCUGAGGUGUAGACGGCUUUCUGGACCAUCACUGACGCUGAGACACGAAAGCGUGGGUAGCAAACAGGAUUAGAUACCCUAGUAGUCC
Molecule: ribosomal RNA, 756 nt
Filed under: uncultured bacterium
Lineage: Bacteria
Description: bacterial SSU rRNA
Rfam family: Bacterial small subunit ribosomal RNA
Source: RNAcentral